Molecule: ribosomal RNA, 497 nt
Filed under: uncultured bacterium
Lineage: Bacteria
Description: partial 16S ribosomal RNA
Rfam family: Bacterial small subunit ribosomal RNA
Source: RNAcentral
GAUGAACGCUGGCGGCGUGCCUAAUACAUGCAAGUCGAGCGAACGGACGAGAAGCUUGCUUCUCUGAUGUUAGCGGCGGACGGGUGAGUAACACGUGGAUAACCUACCUAUAAGGCUGGGAUAACUUCGGGAAACCGGAGCUAAUACCGGAUAAUAUUUUGAACCGCGUGGUUCAAAAGUGAAAGACGGUCUUGCUGUCACUUAUAGAUGGAUCCGCGCUGCAUUAGCUAGUUGGUAAGGUAACGGCUUACCAAGGCAACGAUGCAUAGCCGACCUGAGAGGGUGAUCGGCCACACUGGAACUGAGACACGGUCCAGACUCCUACGGGAGGCAGCAGUAGGGAAUCUUCCGCAAUGGGCGAAAGCCUGACGGAGCAACGCCGCGUGAGUGAUGAAGGUCUUCGGAUCGUAAAACUCUGUUAUUAGGGAAGAACAUAUGUGUAAGUAACUGUGCACAUCUUGACGGUACCUAAUCAGAAAGCCACGGCUAACUACGUG